UGUUUGGGUCCUCAUGAAAUUAAUUGGUUUGUUAGUGAUUAUAACCAUCGUUUACCUGUAUUUUACUCCAGGUAUUGGAAUGUACAUUCAAUGUGUAUUGAUGCGUUCACUGUCAAUUGGCAAGGUUUAAAUGGGUGGUAUGUUCCCCCAGUUUGCCUAUUAUUGAAAGUCCUUAUGUAUACAUGCAGCAAUGUAAGGCAUGUUUUUACUAUUAUUUUACAUUUGUGGAGAUCGGCGUAUUACUAGCCGUUUUUAUAUAUCAAAGGAGAUAGAUUAAUUGAUCAGAAGGUAUAAAUGGGUGGUAUGUUCCCCCAGUUUGCCUAUUAUUGAAAGUCCUUAUGUAUACAUGUACAAGGCAUAUGGUACUAUUAUUAUAGUACAUGGUACUAUUAUUAUAGUACAUGGUACUAUUAUUAUAGUACCUUUUGUGGUGAUCGGCGUUUUACUGGCCGUUUUAUUUUAUUGAUCAGGUGUUGGGUUUACAUUACCUACCUACUAACAAAGCUAACUUUUUACCUGGUAGAGGGAAUAAAUCGGCUUUUGGUAUAUUGAUUUACUAUUUAAGGUGUUGGCUAUUAGAAUGGAGUUUAGGGUGACAUUAAAUUAACUAAUAUUAACUUGGUGAUCGUUUUCAUGUAUUGGAGACAUUUUUAUUGCAUGUACUAUAUUGUAUUUAUUCAUUUUAUUGGUAUAUUAUGUAUUGAAUUGAUGAACUAUGUCAAAAAUUUGGAAGGAACCACAUAUCAAUUUAAAAUAAUGUUAUUAAAUAUGUUUUUUCCAGAUGUCCAAUAACGAUAUUGCUUUGUCUAGUCCUGUAUGUGAUGCAUACUAUAGUAUAAAGGGGCGCACUCGAUUAUUGGUGAAGAUUCUCCAACAGAUUCCCAAUUAGUGAAAUAUGUUUUAAGGAUGUUAAAAAGAAAUUAGGCUACCAAAUCUGGAAGGAAGAGCCGAUGAGUUAUUACAGGAUGCGUUUAAUAAGUUAUUUUGUGCACACAACGUACCAUGUGUGCGUGUCCGGAUAUUUACCAUGUUUACAGAGAUGGAAACUGGUUUAUUAUAGUGAAUUCGAAGAACGUCACAACUUUGCGUCUAGUCCUAAUUUGGAAUUAUAUAUGCCUGGAGUGGCAUUUAAUCUGAUUCUAAUUUGUAUUUAUUCAGGAAUUUGUCACAAGUGAAAGAAAAUUUUGUUUUUCGUUCAACAAAUAAGCCUUUAAGCUAUACAAGCAUUUAAGCUAUACAAGGAUGAGGGAAAUAUCUUUGAUGCAAUUUCUCCAUUUGUUCCCGAUAUAAAAGCAUAUAUAGUUUACGAACUUGUGGUGCUAUUACCGCUGCAAGGUUUGGUUUUUCAGAUAGACUUUUUACACGUCAUGACGUUGGAAGUCGAACACUUAAAAGGAUGGCUUUGUGAAAGACAAUUUAUCAGAACGUAGGAUUGUUUCUCAGAAUUUGGGAAAUGAAUAUCUUUUUUGUUUUAUUUACAUUUUGAACUAUAUAAUUUUCCAUACAUAGUAAUUAAUAGCUUCCCGUUCUUUGGGUUCAGCAUCGGCGUUGUCGUGCAACUAUCCACUUUACUAAGUCUUUGGUAUUUAUUAUAGCCUUUUAUGGGGUG
Molecule: long non-coding RNA, 1609 nt
Filed under: Mytilus galloprovincialis (Mediterranean mussel)
Lineage: Eukaryota; Metazoa; Mollusca; Bivalvia; Mytilida; Mytilidae
Source: RNAcentral